This 98-nucleotide signal recognition particle RNA is filed under the name Niveibacterium sp. 24ML. RNAcentral describes it as "signal recognition particle sRNA small type". It matches the Rfam family "Bacterial small signal recognition particle RNA". From Rfam's summary of the family: The signal recognition particle (SRP) is a universally conserved ribonucleoprotein involved in the co-translational targeting of proteins to membranes. Archaeal SRP consists of a 7S RNA and homologues of the eukaryotic SRP19 and SRP54 proteins. Lineage: Bacteria; Pseudomonadati; Pseudomonadota; Betaproteobacteria; Rhodocyclales; Rhodocyclaceae. The record is from RNAcentral.
GGCGGGUCUCCUCGCAUUGCAGCGUGGGAAUCUGGUCAGGUCCGGAAGGAAGCAGCCAUAACCGCUUCCUGCAAGUGCCGGGGGUCAGGCUCGCCACC